RNAcentral lists this ribosomal RNA (263 nucleotides) under uncultured bacterium. RNAcentral's name for it is "partial 16S ribosomal RNA". It matches the Rfam family "Bacterial small subunit ribosomal RNA", at positions 793 to 1055 of the family's 1533-position model. The record is from RNAcentral.
GUCCACGCCUUAAACUAUGAAUACUAAGUGUCGGCGGGUUACCGCCGGUGCCGCAGCUAACGCAUUAAGUAUUCCGCCUGGGAAGUACGGCCGCAAGGUUUAAACUCAAAGGAAUUGACGGGGGCCCGCACAAGCGGUGGAGCAUGUGGUUUAAUUCGACGCAACGCGAAGAACCUUAACCAGGCUGUACAUGCAGGUAGUAGAAGGGUGAAAGCCCAACGAGGUAGCAAUACCAUCCUGCUCAGGUGCUGCAUGGCUGUCGU